GAGCAAAAAAUUCAAAAACCACCAUAGAAAUUUAGAUGAAGUUGGCAAUACUAGUGCCAUGACAUGAGCCUUAAAGACCAAGUCAUUCAGGUCCCUGAAAACGAUGACGGCA
Molecule: small nucleolar RNA, 112 nt
Filed under: Dipodomys ordii (Ord's kangaroo rat)
Lineage: Eukaryota; Metazoa; Chordata; Mammalia; Rodentia; Heteromyidae
Description: Small nucleolar RNA SNORA33 (ENSDORG00000022888.2)
Source: RNAcentral